ACAGCAACAAUAGCAGCAGUGAUAGCUAGCGUCAUACACUAACCUGCGCUUCUCUCUACGGUCGACACAAAAUAGCCAGCUAGCUGUUGUUUAUAUUUUAAAUAAAGAUGUCGACCACGACCGGCGGUGGAGAAUUUGGUAACCCCCUGCGUAAAUUCAAGCUCGUAUUCUUAGGCGAGCAGAGUGUGGGAAAGACUUCUCUCAUCACUCGUUUUAUGUAUGACAGCUUUGACAAUACCUAUCAGGCAACAAUUGGCAUUGACUUCUUAUCGAAAACCAUGUACCUGGAGGAUCGUACGGUCCGGCUCCAGCUCUGGGACACGGCUGGACAGGAGCGUUUCCGCAGCCUCAUCCCCAGCUACAUCCGAGACUCCACCAUCGCUGUGGUGGUUUAUGACAUCACCAAUUUGAAUUCAUUCCAACAAACCUCAAAGUGGAUUGAUGAUGUCAGAACAGAGAGGGGAAGUGAUGUCAUCAUCAUGCUUGUUGGGAACAAAACCGAUUUGGCUGAUAAAAGGCAAGUUUCUGUUGAGGCUGCAGAGAGGAAAGCUCGUGAACUCAAUGUGAUGUACAUAGAGACCAGCGCCAAGGCUGGCUAUAACGUCAAACAGACAGAUCACCACAGAGGAGGGCGAGCAGAGAGCUAAGGAACUGAAUGUCAUGUUCAUUGAAACCAGCGCAAAGACUGGCUACAAUGUGAAACAGCUGUUUCGCCGUGUGGCUGCGGCCUUGCCCGGGAUGGACAGCACACCAGAGAAGAGCAAAGAGGACAUGAUCGACAUCAAACUGGAGAAGCCACCAGAGAUGGCUGUGACUGAGAGCAGCUGCUCCUGCUAGUAAACACACCCCACCCACCCCCACCUGACCUGCCUCCUCCCCACCAACAGCUUGUCUCUCAGUGGCCACUCUCCCCACCCAUGGCUCACUGCCAUCGGGCUGAGACCUAUCUUUUCCCCUUUUUGACUCAGUGACUUUUCGGAGUAACCGUGUGGAUGUGCUAUUACUCUGUAUUUAAACGGAUAAGUCUGAUGGAAAAUGACAGAAAAAAAAAUGAACAAAAAAAAAUUACAUUUAAAAGUUACAGUUAAAAACGAGGGAUAAUUUAAAUGCUGAUAAAUUUUUCAUCCAACUGCAUGGCAUUAUAUAGGAUUGCAGACUGACAAAUUACGGCUUUGAGUUAUUAUUGCACUUUUUGGAGCAUCAGUGCUGUCACACACGUCAAUGUUGUACAGUAACUACGUUUGAGGUUAUGUCAAGUAGAACACGUGGUCAAGGCUUUAGUCCCUUGAUUCAUUGCUUUUGCUUCCAGUGGAGAGUAUGGAAGUUGGGAAAAUUAGAGUAUUGACAAUUAUCUGUUACUGAGAACCCCCUUCUUUAGUAUUCUUUGUUCCAAAAAUAAGUUUGCAUUUAAAGUCCACAACUUUUUUAAUUAUAACUUCUCUCACUGUCACGGUUGGCUCAGUUAUAGCCACGUAUCAAACACGGUUAAUGGGACCAUACAUAAGGGACGUUAUUUUCACGACAUUAUAAAAGGCAUGAACAGCCAAAUACCUACCUUAGUGAGUUAAAACGUGUGCAGAUCAUAAAGACCAGCAUGUUUUCAAUUAUCUCUAAUGGGGGAAUUCUGCUAAAACAAUUGCAUAGCCAACCAAUAUGGAAAGUGUGUUAUCAGAAAAGGAAAAGUAUCCCAAAUUAAUUAUAACAUGGAGGGGAAAAAAACGAGCAAACUAUUUAUGUACACUUUAAAACUAUAGCAACUAUGUCACAGCCACUUUCCUUCUCAGUGGCACACUAACACAUCUGGGGAUGUGUGUAGAGAAACUUUCAGAUGGAUAGAGCUGACAACUUAGGUUUAACUUGUCCAGUGACCCAUAUGGCUCUUCAGAACCACCCACCAUAGAUAUAUGGUAGAUCUAUCGUUGUCUUGUUUUCAUCACACUAUUGCAGGAAUAGCAUGCUCAUCAUGUACGAUAUCUAGACGGUUAAGAACACAGAUGCCUUGCUUGUUUGUUCACCAACGUUGUGCACUGGAUCAAGCCACAAUAUUGUAAAGAUUGAGGCCGGCUGACAAGCGUCUGGCUUCACUAGUUGUUUAGUAGAGCAGGUAGGUAGUCCCCAGAUGCAGCUAAUGCUUACUAACACCCUUGCUGUAUAAAGUGCAGUUAAGACUUAAAUGCUACUGCCUGUGCAGGACUUGGUUUUUAUGUGUUUAUUUAUUUUAACACAAGCAAACGUGAAUAACAAAAAUGUCAGUUGCAGGCACGCACAACGGAGGCUGGUGUUUUAUUUAUUUUGUGUCUGUUUGGAUGCUGUACCUGAAAGCAAACGCAAGCCUCGGUUGUUUGGGCUUUUAGCAUUAUGGGCCUGUGGGCACAUUAGCUAGAUGCUGUGUGUUUCGUCGGUGGAUUGGUUUAGUCAGGCAAAUGUUUCACUGUACCCCUUUCAUCUUUUGACACAAAUAACACAUGGUCACAUACAAACUAGUAAUAAAUUACCCAUAUAAACCCCACACUAAGCCUACUUUCGUGGUAUCUUAUUUUGGUGACUAUAAACAUUUUGAAAUAAUUUGACAAUAAUCAACAUUAUUAACUACAUUAUUGACUAUCAACAAUAAAGUGUUGAUAGUCAAGUAGGCCUAUUAAAUUACAUUGAACGACCGUAUUUACCUUAACAGCUCUUCUAUUGUCACUGACUGAAUACUCAGCUCUGCUAUUCUGAAGUGUGUCUGUCUAUUUGAAAUAUGCUGUCUACUAGUGUUUAGCAACGUUUGUGUGAAUAAUGUACUUCUAUUACUAUCUGCUGUAUAAAAAGGAGAGUUAAAGGAACACCGAAGUGUAUCACAUGAAACAAAAUAAAGAUAUUUCACCAAGACUGUC
This is an RNA transcript of Hypomesus transpacificus, 2876 nucleotides long. It is a transcript of the gene named RAB41, member RAS oncogene family, with no coding region annotated. The transcript has 9 exons. Lineage: Eukaryota; Metazoa; Chordata; Actinopteri; Osmeriformes; Osmeridae. The record is from RefSeq and is a predicted model, not a curated record.